GACGAACGCUGGCGGCGUGCUUAACACAUGCAAGUCGAACGGAAAGGCCCUGCUUUUGUGGGGUGCUCGAGUGGCGAACGGGUGAGUAACACGUGAGUAACCUGCCCUUGACUUUGGGAUAACUUCAGGAAACUGGGGCUAAUACCAGAUAGGAGCUCCUGCUGCAUGGUGGGGGUUGGAAAGUUUCGGCGGUUGGGGAUGGACUCGCGGCUUAUCAGCUUGUUGGUGGGGUAGUGGCUUACCAAGGCUUUGACGGGUAGCCGGCCUGAGAGGGUGACCGGCCACAUUGGGACUGAGAUACGGCCCUGACUCCUACGGGAGGCAGCAGUGGGGAAUAUUGCACAAUGGGCGGAAGCCUGAUGCAGCAACGCCGCGUGCGGGAUGACGGCCUUCGGGUUGUAAACCGCUUUCGCCUGUGACGAAGCGUGAGUGACGGUAAUGGGUAAAGAAGCACCGGCUAACUACGUG
RNAcentral lists this ribosomal RNA (468 nucleotides) under uncultured bacterium. Its description in RNAcentral is "partial 16S ribosomal RNA". It matches the Rfam family "Bacterial small subunit ribosomal RNA", at positions 28 to 507 of the family's 1533-position model. The record is from RNAcentral.